CAGUCGCCACGGUAAUACGUAGGUGGCGAGCGUUGUCCGGAAUUAUUGGGCGUAAAGGGAGCGCAGGCGGACAUAUAAGUCCAUCUUAAAAGUGCGGGGCUCAACCCCGUGAGGGGAUGGAAACAGUAUGCCUUGAGUGCAGGAGAGGAAAGCGGAAUUCCCAGUGUAGCGGUGAAAUGCGUAGAUAUUGGGAGGAACACCAGUGGCGAAGGCGGCUUUCUGGUUUGUAACUGACGCUGAGGCUCGAAAGCGUGGGGCGCAAACAGGAUUAGAUACCCCAGUAGUCCCUGUCUCUUAUACA
RNAcentral lists this ribosomal RNA (301 nucleotides) under uncultured bacterium. RNAcentral describes it as "partial 16S ribosomal RNA". It matches the Rfam family "Bacterial small subunit ribosomal RNA", at positions 509 to 808 of the family's 1533-position model. The record is from RNAcentral.